Non-coding RNA from Prunus avium (sweet cherry), 548 nucleotides. The record is from RefSeq and is a predicted model, not a curated record. NCBI's taxonomy places the organism in Eukaryota, Viridiplantae, Streptophyta, Magnoliopsida, Rosales, Rosaceae.
GCGAUGGUGAUGCUUUGAUUGGGUAUGGGUGGUGGAGGUGCUAGGGGUCGAUUGCUUUUUUACUAGGUGGCGAGAUGUGUAUUGGGUUCGAUUGGGUGUUGGUCGUGAUUCCAUUGGCAUGGUGUUGGUGUUGGUGUCGGUUGGGUUUGAUAGGUGGUGGUGAUGUGGGGACUGGGUCUGUGAGGUUUGGUGGCAAUGGCAGAGUCAUGGCGGUUGAGAUGAUGAUGGUCUGACAAUCGUGGCCGUGGUAUGUUUGAUUUUGGUUUAUGUUUUGGUGUGAUUUUCGUUUCGUUUCUGUUUUGCUGGGUAGAGUGAUGGGGUUGUGGGUUUCUGUUUAUGGUUUAGGAGUUUGUUUUCUGUGAGAAUGAAAACAUAUUUUUUCUGUUUUUCCAAAGUACACGUUAUGUUGUUUUCAUUUUAUGAAAACAUUCUCACUGUUUUCUGUUUUAUACGGAUUCUUGGUUUGUUUUCAUUCUCAGAAAAUGAAAACGGGCGCUGAAAACUUAACCGAACGGCCCCUAAUAUACCCCAUUUUAGAAUUCUACUUC